This 87-nucleotide non-coding RNA is filed under the name Pelosinus sp. UFO1. Its description in RNAcentral is "c-di-GMP-I riboswitch aptamer". It matches the Rfam family "c-di-GMP-I riboswitch aptamer". From Rfam's summary of the family: GEMM was predicted in a large-scale screen for bacterial structured RNA regulatory elements. Genes associated with GEMM are involved in a diverse array of functions, including chemotaxis regulation, signal transduction, secretion and chitin. Lineage: Bacteria; Bacillati; Bacillota; Negativicutes; Selenomonadales; Sporomusaceae. The record is from Rfam by way of RNAcentral. RNAcentral also lists the same sequence under 1 other name.
GUAUAUAAUUGGCAAACCUUCUGAAAAGAAGGGACGCAAAGCUAUGGGUCUAAGGACGAUUAAGUCUAUGAUUGCCAGGUUGCAUUU